Molecule: long non-coding RNA, 1502 nt
Organism: Apis dorsata (giant honeybee)
Lineage: Eukaryota; Metazoa; Arthropoda; Insecta; Hymenoptera; Apidae
Exons: 2
Source: RefSeq, a predicted model, not a curated record
CUUGUUUGGGCGGACAACGUGAAAAAACGGACGACCUUUAUAUACCGCGUUAUAAAACAAAACACACGCAUCGAAUCGAACGCGUAAUUUGUCGGUUAUAAAUACGGGUGUUUUGAGCGUGAUAUAUAUUCGUAGCGUGUGAAAUCAGUGCGACGGAUAUCAGUGAAAAUCCAGAAAGAGAAAAGCAUCGAUUGUCCUUUGUGUGAUCGUCGUUACUCGGCUUUUUGUUCCUCGGGACGCCACCGCGACGUGUCGUGCUUGGGGCUCGAACGAGUGAGAGUCUCAUCAUAAGCUUCGAGGUCCAAUUGCAAACAUCAUCGUGUUAUACCUGCGCGUCCCUCUCACAAAGUGCGGCUCAUCGAAGGUCUCGCUGUCUCAGCGGUUGAGAGACGUGGAAUGAUAUUUCGUCGAAAUUGAAGGUGCAGCCAAGCUCGGUAGGCAACGACGUGACACGCGAACCAAAUAUUUGAUACGUUAGGUAAGAAGUAUGCUGCAUAUCGUCAAAGUUGAAAAAAAAAUCGAUUUAACGGAAUAUUCGCAUAGUGUAACAGUUUCGCGCGUUAUUUGUCCGAUUUUUUAUAAAGUGCAAGAGUAAUCAGUUCGUUGAAUCCUUGAAAUUUGAGGUUGUGACACAGUUGUGCUUCGGUGACUAAAGAAAUCGAUAGAUCGUAAAUCGAUAGGUGAGACACGACCGAAGUAAUACAGUCGCUGGUGUUGAUUCUUUAUGCGACGUUUAUAUGUGUGUUCAUUUAUUCCAUAUACGAUAGAAAAAGUGCAAGCAAGAUAAAAGAUUAGAUGCAAUAUACGACACAUGAGGAGCAAAUUCAUUUAGAGGCUGUUGGAGCUCUCGGGUAAGAAGACGGCGAGAAAGAGAGAAGGGCGCCUCGUAGUGGCUCCGAAGGAAAGGAAAACUCACCGUUCGCCGGCUUAUAGACAACGUCGGGUUCGCUUGCUUUCUUUCUUUUUCUCUCCCGUCUUUCCCCUCUUCUCCCUUUCACUCGACUCGAGGCUUGCACGAAAUCGCGUGUCGCUCCCGUACCGCGUAGAAAUGUCGCCUCCUCCGGAUCACGACGUUCCGUGAUCGCAGCUGUGCGCACAGCCGACGUUCCUCUUCCUUCUUCGUAGCCUUCCUCUCCGCCUACGAUCCGUUGGAAAUUCAAUUUCUGUGCAAACUUGUGAAAUCAAGAAGAAACGAAAAGUAGAAACUGGACAUAUUGGAUAUAGAGAAGAGCAAAUCACAAAGUAACCGAGAGAUAAAGUGACGCGAAAAAAGAAAUUCGAAAGAGAAAUUCAUAGUCGUUGUGUGUAUCGAACCAGAGAAAAAGAAAGAGCUUAUUGUCCUGAUUUAGAAGAAACGUGUUGGAGAAAGAGGGAAAAAAAUAGAAAGAGAAAAAUAGUAGACGAACGCGAGCAACUGUGCGUCAUGCGUGUAUCUACACAUAUAUCUCACAGAAUAGGAUAAAGGGCACGUGUGGGAUAGAAAUAAAUACAUAAGAGAGGAA